This 109-nucleotide ribosomal RNA is filed under the name Pantoea sp. B_9. RNAcentral describes it as "partial 16S ribosomal RNA". It matches the Rfam family "Bacterial small subunit ribosomal RNA", at positions 1 to 100 of the family's 1533-position model. Lineage: Bacteria; Pseudomonadati; Pseudomonadota; Gammaproteobacteria; Enterobacterales; Erwiniaceae. The record is from RNAcentral.
UUAAAUUGAAGAGUUUGAUCAUGGCUCAGAUUGAACGCUGGCGGCAGGCCUAACACAUGCAAGUCGAACGGCAGCACAGAAGAGCUUGCUCUUUGGGUGGCGAGUGGCG